GAACCGUGAAAUCAACGAGGUGAAGUGAAAAUUGUAAUCUAGGGGUACGGAUGGAUCAAUGAUCCAGGAGCAGACAAAGGUGUGGGAGGAGCACCUAGAGAAACUUCUGACGCAGCUGCGCGACACCAACUUACAGCUUUGGGGCGAUGGGCGGUGCAAUUCCACUGGUCACAGUGCCAAAUACCUGACGUACUCCUUCCUGUGCCCCGAUUCAAGGAACAUCACCCACACAGAGCAAGUAGCGAACAAGUGAAGGCGAGUGCCGUGAUGGAGAAGAAAGGCCUCAUCAGAGGUCUGAAAUUUCUUUCGGACCAUGACAUGGCGGUGAGGUCACUCACGACAGACUGCCACAGAGGCAUCAAGAAGUACUUACGGCUGCAGUGCCCAGGAAUCGGUCACUACUGUGAUGUGUGGCAUGUUGGAAGAGGCAUCAGGAAAAAGCUGGCUGCUGCUUCCCGAAGAGCUGGAUGUGCCGUCAUCACAGAAUGGACGCAAUCGAUAGUCAACCAUCUAUUGGCCUCGAGAUCUUGGAGUGGCCCCCUCUCGCGUGUGACGUCAGAGCGGGGACUCCGCUCUCAACCGCGCUGCAGCAGCCGCUGCUCCUGUAUGCGGAUCGUCUGCUUCAGGCGGGAACUUUGUUGAACGAACAGCCUCGCGACAUCCAACUAACACCUGCAACGAAUGUUUUCAAGUGUAAUCUUGAACUUGUUUUAGUUGUGGCCCAAUCGACAGGGCCAAGAAAUCCCCCGGAUGGCCGACGAGUACGCCGAUGCCACUGACUGCAUUGCUGAUUCUCCAGCCUACGAGCAGAUUGAGUGCAUUGUGACAGCACCAUCGCUAUUGAAGGACAUCCCGCAAUUAUAUAACCAUCUGUGCAAACCUACAGCCUGGAGUCCUUCCACAGUGUCCUGAAUGGUUUUGCCCCAAAGUCCAGUGCAUUCACGUAUGAAGGCAUGAGAGCCCGCGAAAACUCUCAGCGAGAGCAAGCAAGGAGCAGUGACGGCACAGAGAAGUGGCGCAUCAAGACAUCAGAGGUCCAGCAAGGAGUCGCUGCCAAGGCUGCUGUCAUAGUACGUAACGACGCCAGCACUACAAGACCUCAGCAGCAUACCGCAUUCAUCGGGGCUCCAGUUGCUGAAUUGGAGCCCAGCGUUGUGAGCCAAUGUCUCGUUGCCAAGUUCACCGUCGACAUCCAUUGCGGCGAUUGCAGCAAGCUUUGAUAGCUUUGAUGGCCGUUGUUGCUGCUGUUGCUCCUGCUACUUUCGCUCUGCUGCUACUAAUGUCGGUGGCCAUGCAGUAAAGGCGGGCAACGUUGGGCACGGCAACAGUGACGUCAGAAAGACUGCUUUUAGGCGGGUGAUUUGAAGUAUGCUAACGCGAUGCGAAGCACUAAAACAUGAUUUUAUUUAAAAGUAAGCACUUCCUUGGCACAAAAGUAGCACUACGAGGUUUUUGGACCACUGUUUCAAGAAUCAAUGUCGACUUAAUAUUUGACUUUAGUGUCCUUGAAGGGUCCCUCACCAGGUUCGACAAUUUUGAGCUGACGAGCGCAAUGCAUACACUGGGCAUUCACGAUCACGUCUGCCAAAAUUUGCAACGCUAUGCACCGUGGAAAUGGGUCAAAUUUCAAGCUGAACGCUGCUUGCCCUUCUUCAUGCGGACGUGCACCCAGAGAAUGAGGGGAUGACGUGCACGAUGGAAUGGCCCUACGUAGACGGUAGUGCUAUGACAUUGGUCCUCUACGUAGACUGUGCUCUGACAUCGCCAACAGUAACACGUGACACUGCGAUAAUUAUUUGACACAACGUGUAGUUUGUGUAAUUUGUUCCUUGAAUAGAUUAAUAAAACUUGAGAGCAAUAAUAAAGCACACAAACGGAAUGUGUGCAUUUUCUUUUUUAAUUUUUAUUGCGAAUCGCAGCCAGAUGCGAGACUGAUCUAAUCUACCUCCGUUUUGCAUGCGUUCGUGUUAUCGCAGUUUGCGCAUCAUGCAGACGUCACUGCUUACAAUGAAACUAAUUUUCUACCGCGUUCCAGCGCUCAUUAGGCUCAUUUAUCCUCCCGCAUCGAACCAGAUGUUCAUGCGGCAACCGUUAGUCUCGCGUUCAUACAAAUGUCUCAGCUUUCGUACUCAGUAAUAGGUUGAAAGCCAAGUGAUCGGCGAAGGCGCAUUCGGCAUAACUUGUGGAGAUGAAGCACAAAGAACGCCGCCACAACACCGCUCGCGUGUCGGGGGCUCGGGCACGUCACGUGCUCGUGACAUUGUGUGCGCCUGACGUCUUCAUGCGUAUGCGUCAUGUGAUCCUCCCGCUCGCGUGCCGAAGAGGGCAGGGAAGGGAUUUGGCUUGCGAAGGCUACAUGGGGCAAGCUACAUCAUGAUUUCGUGCCGCCUCAAAACAUUGGUUUUCUCAGCUUCUAAUGGACUGAUUAGAAAAAUUCUUGUGUCAUAAUGCUCUUUAUUGGGCGCGACAACUUCCAGUGUCUAACUAAAAUUCGUUAUGUCACCUGGUGAGGGGGCCUUUAAGCGCAUUGAAGGACCCUACUUUUCCGCUGGUUUUCGGUGCCAUGCCUGAUGAGCUUCAGUGUUUGCUGAAGAAAGAGUGUGUCGAAAAUAAACAACUGUCUAUAACUGCACAUAGAUACACAUACAUGCCUUUCUCAAAUUCUUUGCC
Rhipicephalus sanguineus (brown dog tick) is the source of this 2670-nucleotide long non-coding RNA. RefSeq lists it as uncharacterized. Lineage: Eukaryota; Metazoa; Arthropoda; Arachnida; Ixodida; Ixodidae. The transcript is spliced from 6 exons. The record is from RefSeq and is a predicted model, not a curated record.